CGGACGGGUGAGUAAUGUCUGGGAAACUGCCUGAUGGAGGGGGAUAACUACUGGAAACGGUAGCUAAUACCGCAUAACGUCGCAAGACCAAAGAGGGGGACCUUCGGGCCUCUUGCCAUCGGAUGUGCCCAGAUGGGAUUAGCUAGUAGUGGGGUAAAGGCUCACCUAGGCGACGAUCCCUAGCUGGUCUGAGAGGAUGACCAGCCACACUGGAACUGAGACACGGUCCAG
This 231-nucleotide ribosomal RNA is filed under the name uncultured bacterium. Its description in RNAcentral is "partial 16S ribosomal RNA". It matches the Rfam family "Bacterial small subunit ribosomal RNA", at positions 99 to 334 of the family's 1533-position model. The record is from RNAcentral.